AACGAACGCUGGCGGCGCGUCUUACACAUGCAAGUCGAACGGCAGGAAGGGGCUUGCCCCUUCUGAGAGUGGCGGACUGGUGAGUAACACGUGGGUGACAUACCUUUUAGUUGGGGAUAGCUAUUAGAAAUAGUAGGUAAUACCGAAUGUGACCGUACCUGUUUGAGGGGUACGAGGAAAGGAGCUAAGGCUUCGCUAAAAGAAUGGCUCGCGGCCCAUUAUGCUCGUUGGUGAGGUAACGGCCCACCAAGGCGAUGAUGGGUAUCCGGCCUGAGAGGGUGAACGGACACAUUGGGACUGAGAUACGGCCCAGACUUCUACGGGAGGCAGCAGUUAAGAAUAUUCCGCAAUGGACGAAAGUCUGACGGAGCGACGCCGCGUGGAUGAAGAAUGCCGAAAGGUUGUAAAAUCCUUUUAAGCCUGAUGAAUAAGCACAGUAGGGAAUGAUUGUGCGGUGACCGUAGGGCUUGAAUAAGCACCGGCUAAUUACGUG
This 493-nucleotide ribosomal RNA is filed under the name uncultured bacterium. RNAcentral's name for it is "partial 16S ribosomal RNA". It matches the Rfam family "Bacterial small subunit ribosomal RNA", at positions 29 to 507 of the family's 1533-position model. The record is from RNAcentral.